Molecule: long non-coding RNA, 440 nt
Filed under: Homo sapiens (human)
Lineage: Eukaryota; Metazoa; Chordata; Mammalia; Primates; Hominidae
Description: HSALNT0323341
Source: RNAcentral
CACAAACCUCAUCUCACAUGUUGCUCUUUUCCCCUCUUUCACCAGUUCCAGGCACACAGACUUCCUGUCAGUUCUUGGUCAAGCAAGUUCUCGUCCACCUGAGGACCUUGUCCUUGCCUGUUCUUCCGUCUGCCUGGAAGGCUUUCUUCUGUCUUCUGUGCCUGGCUCCUUCCCCACCUUCCGGCCUCACUUGAGAUGUGAUCUUCUCUGACCAUCUUAGCUGAAGUUGGCCUCCUCUCCCUUAAUCUCCAUUGAGCUAAACAGUUUCUUUCAUCUAGAACUUACUAUAGUAAUUAUGUGUUUACUAGUUCACUGUCUGGAAUCGUUUACCCUAGAGCAGUCUACGAUGUAAAGCCAGGAUGGUCAAACUACAGCGCAAGCUUUGUUUUUGCAAAGCUCUGGAGAGUUGGGGUUUCACCGUGUUCCCCAGGCUGGUCUUG